UUAACAUCCAAUCUCUCUCACUGGCACGCAGACAGUUAAUAAAACAAGUCUGCAGCAUGUAAAAAAAGUUAAAUAUCUGGCACUCAAAUGGUUAACGUUGAAACACUCGGGCACAAAAUUACACCUAUAUCCUCUAUGGCGAGCAAACAGUUAAUAUUGUAUCUCUCUGGCACACAAACCGUUAAUAACCUAACCUAGUAUUUCAUCCCUCUGGCACAGAAAGAGUUAAUAAAACACUCCUGUCAGACCAUGUAUCUACUAAAAGAAAAAUGUUUCUUACCUGAAACACACAG
This is a non-coding RNA of Pelobates cultripes (western spadefoot toad), 293 nucleotides long. Lineage: Eukaryota; Metazoa; Chordata; Amphibia; Anura; Pelobatidae. The record is from the annotation of a GenBank genome assembly.